UACGGGGGGAGCAAGCGUUGUUCGGAUUUACUGGGCGUAAAGGGCGCGUAGGCGGCCUCUGCAAGUCGACUGUGAAAUCUCCGGGCUUAACCCGGAAAGGUCAGCCGAUACUGCAGGGCUAGAGUGCAGAAGGGGCAACUGGAAUUCUCGGUGUAGCGGUGAAAUGCGUAGAUAUCGAGAGGAACACCUGCGGCGAAGGCGGGUUGCUGGGCUGACACUGACGCUGAGGCGCGAAAGCUAGGGGAGCGAACGGG
This 254-nucleotide ribosomal RNA is filed under the name uncultured bacterium. RNAcentral describes it as "partial 16S ribosomal RNA". It matches the Rfam family "Bacterial small subunit ribosomal RNA", at positions 524 to 776 of the family's 1533-position model. The record is from RNAcentral.